Poecilia latipinna (sailfin molly) is the source of this 2143-nucleotide long non-coding RNA. RefSeq lists it as uncharacterized. NCBI's taxonomy places the organism in Eukaryota, Metazoa, Chordata, Actinopteri, Cyprinodontiformes, Poeciliidae. The transcript has 2 exons. The record is from RefSeq and is a predicted model, not a curated record.
AGAAAAACAAACAGAUGAACACUGGGAACAGAAAUACUUGUUGAUUUUAUUUGAAAAUGUACAAAGCCAUUAAACUACACAAUUAUACAAGAACAUAAAAAUGAUUGCCCUAAACUUAGUUAACAUUUGUCCAGAGCUUCCUUUGAGUCCUUCGAACCACCUCGGAUCAUUUGUGGUUUCGCCACUUUAAAUUGGAACUGAAGCGGCGGUCUUGCUUGUUUGACAUUGUUGCUACUUUUUACUUGUACAUUGAUUUCUGACUCAAACAGACAUCAAACCAGUCUUAAUAUGUCAGGCGUUAAACCUGACUUUCAGCUGCUGACCCCUAGGCAGGGCGUCCCCUAGCGAAUGAAAAUGAUAUGGAAAAUUAUGAAUCAAAAUUUUAUAUGUGCAAAUUUAACGAGGUUAUUUAUGUGUGUGUAUGUGUGUGUGUGUUUUAAAGUGCAAUUAGAGCUGCUUCAAACUAAAGCACGAAUUGGCUGCAUUAUCUAGUUUCAGUGGUUUAAUGUUAUUUUUUUAUUAAUUUUGAUCUUUUUAUUUCAUUAAACUUUCUAACCACAAAUGAUGGUCUGCAACACAAAUGCAUAUCUCAGUGAAAUGAAAUAAUAAUAAUUUAAAAAAAUCCACAUAAUAAGAGUUCUGCAUGAGUUUUUACUGCUGAGAAACUCUACAGGGAGUUUUAAAUCUGCUGCGUUUUAUCUGACAACUUUCUGCUUUUACAAGCAAGCUUGACUCUGCUUUAAAUUGCAGCAUUUGAAGUCCAACACUCAGUCUAUGUUUGUUGGUUUUAUUGUGCCGCAGCUCCUCUGCUGUAACCGACACCGUCGACCAGGCCCAAGCUCACACCAUUAAAUAUACAAACAAAUAAAUAAGUAAAAGGGCGUUGUCGUAUGCUGCAGUACAUUUGGACUUUGGGUGCCAGAUGAAAUUAUUGGUCAAUUCAGAGUAAAAAAAAAAAAAAGUUAUAUUUUAAAAUGCUUUUUAAUUUUUACUAUUUUACCAUAGAGGAAACUAUGCUUACUUGGUAUUUGGCACCCUGACAGAAGUGAGGUUGUCGUUUCGCGCCAUCGGCCCUUCUGACUAAGCCUGUUACGGUAAAUACUGCGGCCUCUGUAAGUGAACAUGGCUUUUAAGCAUUGAAAGAACAGAAAUGGAUUGCUGAUGUUAGCUUGCAUUGAUAACUGCAGUUAGCCUGGUCACUUAUGGUUCUUUUCCACUACAACCAGAGGCGGCUCAACUCUACAUAGAUUAACUUAGGUUUUUUUCCAUUACAAUGAAGUAAGAGGUCUAGUGCGUGUGGUGGUCAUGCAGUUGGGUGGUCAUGGAGUCUGGAGCGCUAUGUGAUCUGUACAGGACACAGCUAGGGACAUAAAGCCAUGUUGAACAUUCUACUCAGACAGAAUUUUUUUGUCAGAUUAUUGUCACUUUAUUACGAGUUUUUCUGAAUGGCGGCUCGAGUUAUUGUAAGAGAGUUGCUCUUGUGAUGCAACUAGUUAAUCCACCUCUUAGCCAAUCAGUGACCAACAGUCUUCUGAGUAGGGCUGCACAAUUUUAUCAGUUCUAUGAUAUUUAUCAAUAUUUUUUUUUUCCCUCAGAAAGUAUAGAUUUUUCAUCUGCGAGUAUCAAUACAUUAAGUUCUAAUUUGAGUUCUAUGUCAAAUCCACAUCAAUUAAAUGACAGCUAUCACACAUGACAUUUUUACCCAGCUGCACAUGUAUGAAUGAAACAACCAGUUACAAAUUAAAUAAUGAAAUUAAAUUACAUUAUCUAAUAUAAGGGAAUAAGACAAAAAAGGUUCCUUUUCUGCAUAACCAAAUACACAAAGCCACACAAUUACCAUUUAAACAAAGUAAAUGUUUAACAAAAACAUUUAUUACACCAGUAUUACACCAUCAGUUCAAUUAACUCAAUCCAAGUCUAAGGAACAGUCACAAAAUGCCACCAAAAUCACUCUGUCCCUCUAAAAUCUUUCAGAAAAUCUUAAAAAUGUAUCAAAUUGUAUUGUUCGCUGAACAUUGUGAUUUAUAUCUUACUGUGAGCAGAAUAUUACGUAUUGUAUUGUUUAGUGAGAUUACUGUAUCGCUACAACCCCACUUCUGACAUCAUGUUUCAGCCAGACUCACUGCAUGCGAGUGAAGUGGGU